This is a small nucleolar RNA of Lycium barbarum (goji berry), 122 nucleotides long. RefSeq annotates it as small nucleolar RNA Z103. The record is from RefSeq and is a predicted model, not a curated record. The transcript has a single exon. Lineage: Eukaryota; Viridiplantae; Streptophyta; Magnoliopsida; Solanales; Solanaceae.
AUGGAUGUGAUGGCUAUUUCCCCAGACGAUCGAAGCUGAAAUAACUGAGCGCUCUUUAUGUAUUUUCUACCCGAAAUUUUCUUCCUUCGGGUAGAAAAUCCAAGCCAGAUAGUCUGAUCCAU